RNAcentral lists this ribosomal RNA (251 nucleotides) under uncultured Cellulomonas sp. RNAcentral's name for it is "partial 16S ribosomal RNA". It matches the Rfam family "Bacterial small subunit ribosomal RNA", at positions 524 to 774 of the family's 1533-position model. Lineage: Bacteria; Bacillati; Actinomycetota; Actinomycetes; Micrococcales; Cellulomonadaceae. The record is from RNAcentral.
UACGUAGGGCGCAAGCGUUGUCCGGAAUUAUUGGGCGUAAAGAGCUCGUAGGCGGUUUGUCGCGUCUGCUGUGAAAACUCGAGGCUCAACCUCGGGCUUGCAGUGGGUACGGGCAGACUAGAGUGCGGUAGGGGAGACUGGAAUUCCUGGUGUAGCGGUGGAAUGCGCAGAUAUCAGGAGGAACACCGAUGGCGAAGGCAGGUCUCUGGGCCGCAACUGACGCUGAGGAGCGAAAGCAUGGGGAGCGAACA